This 343-nucleotide ribosomal RNA is filed under the name Craterellus cornucopioides var. mediosporus. Its description in RNAcentral is "5.8S ribosomal RNA". The stretch from base 1 to 184 matches the Rfam family "5.8S ribosomal RNA". From Rfam's summary of the family: 5.8S ribosomal RNA (5.8S rRNA) is a component of the large subunit of the eukaryotic ribosome. It is transcribed by RNA polymerase I as part of the 45S precursor that also contains 18S and 28S rRNA. Functionally, it is thought that 5.8S rRNA may be involved in ribosome translocation. Lineage: Eukaryota; Fungi; Basidiomycota; Agaricomycetes; Cantharellales; Hydnaceae. The record is from RNAcentral.
AUCUCUUGGUUCUCGCAUCGAUGAAGAACGCAGUGAAAUGCGAUAACUGGUGUGAAUUGCAUCCAAGUAACUCUAAUUUACGAAUAACACCAAGUGAAUCAUCGAGUCUUUGAACGCAAUUGCGCCCUCUCGGUCGCUUCCAAUUGGGGGUUGACUCAUAGGGGGUACGUCUGUUCGAGGGUCAUUUGAACCUCUCAAAGGGUUUUUAGAUUUUAAACCCUUUGGAUUUGGGUCUUGCCGUGAAAUUCUAUCUUGGCUUACCUUGAAAGCAUUAGCAAAGCUUUUCAGCACUUGAAAGUCUUUUUGAAUGAGGGCGUUGUUAAUUUGGUCAGGCCUCCUUGAG